UAGUUGCCAGUGCGCGCUGUAUUAACGGUGGUCGAUGUGGGUGAUUACUCGUGCGUACGCCGUGCCGAGAGAAAUUGCGGUGCAUUUUGUAAGCAUUGAGAAUCAAAACCCCUUGGACUGCGUAAUGUAGCUCGCAGUAUAUUUCGUGUGGUGCGCCGAUGUCGAAUACCUUCGCGCAUUCGUUUCCGGCUUGUGGAAAGCCUGUGUCUUAAGAAUCUCCUCCUCUCGCACUCUCGCGUCGUAUCACAGUGCACGGAAGUAUUUGGGGAAACUUGUGCUAUUACGUGCUGUAGUCGAUCCGCAAUUCAACGGUGUUCACGCCGGAAGGACCGUCGGUGCAGUCGAUGCUCGAAAGGGAUGUCAAGAUUUUGUGAACCAGAGGCACCUCCACAUGUGCACCUGCAGCACUUCUGCAGCCUCAACAACACGGCAAGGUAACUAAUGGGCAUGCUGCGACAAGCUGCUAUAGGUAUGGCUGGACCUGGAGAAGAAGUGUAAGCAGACCAUGCCAUGUUGCUGAUCUGCGCCGAUCUCCACAUCCAAGCUGGUCCCGCGACAGUUGGGCACCACUGUGCCUUGCUUCAUUGACAAGGUGAUAUAAUAUGCCAAAGGCACAUGACUGCUGUGGGUCGGCGACGAGGAGGAAGAAAAGGGCCGGUUCUGGUCUGAGGCGGCAGCCAUGCGGAACUGCCUGAGCCUGCCCGAGCGGGCCUUCUGUGCCGAACGAGCCGAGCAGUUCGUCUACCCAAGGCCGAUGUUCCUGGAUGUGCUGGCGGAACAGGCCGGGCUGUCCUUGGGCGUCAACCGGCCCUGCUCCACUGCUGGGCAAGCAUCCGAAGCCGGCGUGUUCUGGUGCAGCUAAGCUUUCCAAACGGACUAGCCUGUGGUGGGCAGACGUCCCGACUCAGCUGUCAUGCGAGCGGCCUGUCGUGUGCCGGGCAUCCGCCUCGGCCUCCAGCCCCUGCGCCACCUGCUGCUCCAGAUUCAUCGUUGCGUCUCUUCGUGCCGUGCCCUGCUCGCUGUCACCCAAGCAACACAUCCCAGCGAUCUUCUCUCGGCAGACUGGGUGCAUCGAAGUACGAUUAGAAGGUCCAAUAAACACUGCUUGUGACAAGUA
Dermacentor albipictus is the source of this 1117-nucleotide long non-coding RNA. RefSeq lists it as uncharacterized. Lineage: Eukaryota; Metazoa; Arthropoda; Arachnida; Ixodida; Ixodidae. The record is from RefSeq and is a predicted model, not a curated record.